Long non-coding RNA from Girardinichthys multiradiatus, 952 nucleotides. RefSeq lists it as uncharacterized. NCBI's taxonomy places the organism in Eukaryota, Metazoa, Chordata, Actinopteri, Cyprinodontiformes, Goodeidae. The record is from RefSeq and is a predicted model, not a curated record. The transcript has 4 exons.
AAUUAGGAGGCAAUUGGACAGGGACAGCAUUCCAGCGGGUUGAGGGUCAGAGUUAACUCUAAGGUUUUCAUUCUAUGUAAGCAGUGAGGAGCAGUCUGAGCUUCUGGGGUGAAAUUGAGGACAUGCAGGUGUGAUGCAAUGGAUCCAUUUGUAGGUCCAAGAUCUGAGAAAGCCAUCAAAGCUGGAUGAGAGUUGGAGUCUGGUUUAGUGCAUGUGAGAAUUUGCCAGGCAGGUUUUCUACAUAGUCUUUCUAAGGUGGUCUAAACAAGAGUCUGUGGCAGUAGCCCAGAAAGGAAGUUGAUCUUACCUAAAAGCUCAACCCCUAAACCUCUCCAGCAUGAUGGACCUACCAGGAGCACAAAACUCCUGUAAGCCAAAGGGUCGGGAAGGCCCACAAGCCAACACACCACCAUCAAGGACAGGCGCGAAAAGCAGUCGACCAGGCUUCCGCUGGAGAUGGGAUUGCCAGACAUAAAUCUUGGAAGAGGACGUAUUUAUGAGCAGAGACGUUCGGCUUUCUGCCGGCUCAUCACACUGACUGUCUGCUGGUGAACUGCGUGUUUGGUUUCUGCUGGCUUCAUGCAAACAUCCAGCGUGUAUCCACACUGCACUCAGCUAAACCUUCCUACAAAGGAAUAAUAGAUAUGAUCACCAUGCGACAGAGCCCUGGAUUUCCAAGCUCUUAUUCUCCAUGUUAUGCUCUGGUGGGUGUUGGAAACAACUCCCUGCUGCUCCAACCAUGAUCCUCCCUUCCUUUCCUACCUCCAGCCCUACAGCUCUGAGAUCGCCUCGUGGAAAUACCAAACCGUUGCUCACCGGCAUGUACAACCUCUAACACGCGUGCUCCAACAAGCCAUCAUCCACCACCAGCAUGCCAGUCCAGAUCCCUCCGGCAGAUCCAGUCCGGUUUCAGUGUCAUUUUGUUUAAUUACAUAUAAACUGUUAAACCUGC